AACGAACGCUGGCGGCAUGCCUAACACAUGCAAGUCGAACGAGAUCUUCGGGUCUAGUGGCGCACGGGUGCGUAACGCGUGGGAAUCUGCCCUUUGGUUCGGAAUAACAGUUGGAAACGACUGCUAAUACCGGAUGAUGACGAAAGUCCAAAGAUUUAUCGCCAGAGGAUGAGCCCGCGUAGGAUUAGCUAGUUGGUGUGGUAAAGGCGCACCAAGGCGACGAUCCUUAGCUGGUCUGAGAGGAUGAUCAGCCACACUGGGACUGAGACACGGCCCAGACUCCUACGGGAGGCAGCAGUGGGGAAUAUUGGACAAUGGGCGAAAGCCUGAUCCAACAAUGCCGGGUGAGUGAUGAAGGCCUUAGGGUUGUAAAGCUCUUUUACCCGGGAUGAUAAUGACAGUACCGGGAGAAUAAGCUCCGGCUAACCCCGUGCCAGCCGCCGCCGUAA
Molecule: ribosomal RNA, 449 nt
Filed under: uncultured bacterium
Lineage: Bacteria
Description: partial 16S ribosomal RNA
Rfam family: Bacterial small subunit ribosomal RNA
Source: RNAcentral